This 628-nucleotide ribosomal RNA is filed under the name uncultured Methanolinea sp. RNAcentral's name for it is "bacterial SSU rRNA". It matches the Rfam family "Archaeal small subunit ribosomal RNA", at positions 305 to 937 of the family's 1478-position model. The record is from RNAcentral. Lineage: Archaea; Methanobacteriati; Methanobacteriota; Methanomicrobia; Methanomicrobiales; Methanoregulaceae.
GAGACACGAAUCCAGGCCCUACGGGGCGCAGCAGGCGCGAAAACUUUACAAUGCGGGAAACCGUGAUAAGGGAACCCCGAGUGCCCGUAAAUUCGGGCUGUUCACCAGUGUAAAUAGCUGGUGGAGAAAGGGCCGGGCAAGACCGGUGCCAGCCGCCGCGGUAAUACCGUCGGCUCGAGUGGUGGCCACUAUUACUGGGCUUAAAGCGUCCGUAGCUGGGUUGUUAAGUCUCUGGGGAAAUCUUCCGGCUUAACCGGAAGGCGUCUCAGGGAUACUGGCAAUCUAGGGAUCGGAAGAGGUGAGGGGUACUCCAGGGGUAGGAGUGAAAUCCUGUAAUCCUUGGGGGACCACCUGUGGCGAAGGCGCCUCACCAGGACGACUCCGACAGUGAGGGACGAAAGCUGGGGGAGCAAACCGGAUUAGAUACCCGGGUAGUCCCAGCUGUAAACGAUGCGCGUUAGGUGCAUCGGUGACCACGAGUUACCGAGGUGCCGAAGGGAAACCGUGAAACGCGCCGCCUGGGAAGUACGGUCGCAAGGCUGAAACUUAAAGGAAUUGGCGGGGGAGCACUACAACGGGUGGAGCCUGCGGUUUAAUCGGACUCAACGCCGGGAAGCUCACCGGAUAA